GAUUUUCCCGCCAAAAG
Molecule: small RNA, 17 nt
Filed under: Arabidopsis thaliana (thale cress)
Lineage: Eukaryota; Viridiplantae; Streptophyta; Magnoliopsida; Brassicales; Brassicaceae
Description: ATSL231890
Source: RNAcentral